UGACACGGGUGAGAGCUGAAGUAGGU
RNAcentral lists this non-coding RNA (26 nucleotides) under Homo sapiens (human). The record is from RNAcentral. Lineage: Eukaryota; Metazoa; Chordata; Mammalia; Primates; Hominidae.